Molecule: ribosomal RNA, 925 nt
Filed under: Plasmodium inui
Lineage: Eukaryota; Apicomplexa; Aconoidasida; Haemosporida; Plasmodiidae
Description: SSU rRNA
Rfam family: Eukaryotic small subunit ribosomal RNA
Source: RNAcentral
UUCUUGAGUGUGUACUUGUUAAGCCUUUUAAGAAAAAAGUUAUUAACUUAAGGAAUUAUAACAAAGAAGCAACACGUAAAUGGAUUUUCCAUUUUUUAGUGUGUAUCAAUCGAGUUUCUGACCUAUCAGCUUUUGAUGUUAGGGUAUUGGCCUAACAUGGCUAUGACGGGUAACGGGGAAUUAGAGUUCGAUUCCGGAGAGGGAGCCUGGGAAAUAGCUACCACAUCUAAGGAAGGCAGCAGGCGCGUAAAUUACCCAAUUCUAAAGAAGAGAGGUAGUGACAAGAAAUAACAAUACAAGGCCAAUCUGGCUUUGUAAUUGGAAUGAUGGGAAUUUAAAACCUUCCCAAAACUCAAUUGGAGGGCAAGUCUGGUGCCAGCAGCCGCGGUAAUUCCAGCUCCAAUAGCGUAUGUUAAAAUUGUUGCAGUUAAAACGCUCGUAGUUGAAUUUCAAAGAAUCGAUAUUUUAAGUAACGCUUUGUAGAUUAAUCCACAUAACUGAUACUACGUAUCGACUUUGUGCGCAUUUUUCUACUUAUGUGUUCUUUUAAUUAAAAUGAUUCUUUUUAAGAUCUUUCUUUUUUGCUUCGGCAUUUUAGGAGAUCUUGUUACUUUGAGUAAAUUAGAGUGUUCAAAGCAAACAGAUUAUAGCAUCUUUAUGCGUUUGAAUACUACAGCAUGGAAUAACAAAAUUGAACAAGUCAGAAUUUUGUUCUUUUUUCUUAUUUUGGCUUAGUUACGAUUAAUAGGAGUAGCUUGGGGGCAUUUGUAUUCAGAUGUCAGAGGUGAAAUUCUUAGAUUUUCUGGAGACAAACAACUGCGAAAGCAUUUGCCUAAAAUACUUCCAUUAAUCAAGAACGAAAGUUAAGGGAGUGAAGACGAUCAGAUACCGUCGUAAUCUUAACCAUAAACUAUGCCGACUAGGC